CUUUACUGCAACUUGACGUUGGAACUUGGCUGUACUUGUGUAGAAUAGAUGGGAGACUUUGAAGCAGGGCCGCCAGGUCUUGCGGAGUCGUCGUUGAAAUACCACCCUGGUGCUGACGAGUUUCUAACCAUGUCCAUAAACCGGACAUGAGACAGCGUCUGGUGGGCAGUUUGACUGGGGCGGUCGCCUCCUAAAAGGUAACGGAGGCAUUCAAAGGUCCCCUCAGCGUGGUCGGUAAUCACGCGCAGAGUGCAAACGCAUAAGGGGGCUUAACUGCGAGACCGACAGGUCGAGCAGGUACGAAAGUAGGAGUUAGUGAUCCCGAGGUUUAGCGUGGAAUUGCCGUUGCUCAAUGGAUAAAAGGUA
RNAcentral lists this ribosomal RNA (366 nucleotides) under uncultured organism. RNAcentral describes it as "bacterial LSU rRNA". It matches the Rfam family "Bacterial large subunit ribosomal RNA", at positions 2099 to 2465 of the family's 2925-position model. The record is from RNAcentral.